GACGAACGCUGGCGGCGUGCCUAACACAUGCAAGUCGAGCGGAGAUAUUAGUAAUAGUAUCUUAGCGGCGGACGGGUGAGUAACGCGUGGGCAACCUGCCUCGUACUGGGGGAUAACACAGGGAAACUUGUGCUAAUACCGCAUAAAAUCAUAGGAGGACAUCCUCUAAUGAUCAAAGGAGCAAUCCGGUAUGAGAUGGGCCCGCGUCCGAUUAGCUAGUUGGUGGUGUAACGGACCACCAAGGCGACGAUCGGUAGCCGAACUGAGAGGUUGAUCGGCCACAUUGGGACUGAGACACGGCCCAGACUCCUACGGGAGGCAGCAGUGGGGAAUAUUGCGCAAUGGGGGAAACCCUGACGCAGCAACGCCGCGUGAAGGAUGAAGGUUUUCGGAUUGUAAACUUCUUUGAUGAGGGACGAACAAAUGACGGUACCUCAAAAACAAGCCACGGCUAACUACGUGCCAGCAGCCGCAGUAA
RNAcentral lists this ribosomal RNA (478 nucleotides) under uncultured bacterium. RNAcentral's name for it is "partial 16S ribosomal RNA". It matches the Rfam family "Bacterial small subunit ribosomal RNA", at positions 28 to 523 of the family's 1533-position model. The record is from RNAcentral.